RNAcentral lists this small RNA (132 nucleotides) under Escherichia sp. E2593. Its description in RNAcentral is "RtT sRNA". It matches the Rfam family "RtT RNA". Rfam says of the family: This family represents a bacterial cis-regulatory element known as RtT RNA. The exact function of RtT is unknown although it is thought that it may be involved in changing the cellular response in relation to amino acid starvation. The record is from RNAcentral. Lineage: Bacteria; Pseudomonadati; Pseudomonadota; Gammaproteobacteria; Enterobacterales; Enterobacteriaceae. RNAcentral also lists the same sequence under 1 other name.
AUUCUGCCCAUGCGGGGAAGGAUGAGAAGCUUCGACCAAGGUUCGACUCGAGCGUCAGCGAGAGAGCGUUGCCGCAGGCAACGACCCGAAGGGCGAAGCGCGCAGCGCUGAGUAAUCCUUCCUCCACCACCA